AUGGCGGGGCUCAGCGCCCUUCCCCGCCACGCCCUUCCCGCUGGCCCCGCCCCUCCCCGGGGUCCGCGCGCAGCCGCCGCUGCCGGCGCCGGGGCGGGCCCGGCGGGGCGGGGCGGGGCCAGCGAGGCGCCGGCAUCGCUCCAGCCCGGCCGUCACCGGCGAGCCCCGGGUGAGGAGGGCAGGGGGCCGCCGGGAUCCCUCCGACCGUCACCGGGGCGAGGGGGGGUGGUGUCUCUCUGUGGGGGGGGCGGCGGCGGCGGGACCGGGCAGGCCAGCGCCGCUCCGGUCCGGUUCCCCCCCCUCCCAGGCCGCGGCCUGCUUGGAGCCGGUGGGCGCCGGCCGGGCCCGGCGACGGCUCGGAGGGUCCCUCCCUGCACCGGCGGCGGGGGUUGCAGCCGGUGGCAGUGCCGGCGGUUAGGGCGCUGCCCGGCGCCGGGCAGGGCCGGGAGCCGCGGGUCCCGGCGGGCAGGGCCGGGAGCCGCCCCGGUUAAACCCUACCCUCCGCCCGGGCAUUGCACCGCGGGGGGGAACGGCCUCCGGGCCGGGCAGGGGCCGGGCGAGCUCCGCUCCCGCUGCCCACGGUGGGGGCAGGUGGGAAACGGCCCGUGUCUGCCGCCGGCGGGGAACGAGCCACGGGAACCGGGAAGAAUAGCCCAAAAUACCCUCUUCUCCCUUGGGGCCGGCCGUCUCCAGGGCCUUCGGGCUGGGUGUGGGACUGGCGGCUCAGGGAGAAUCACCAAAAGCAUGAUUGGAAGUAAUAAAUCUGUGCUGGGAGGAGGCGAGGGGCUGCUGGAGUCGGGAUGGACCCAUAGCUCCGGCCAGGCUGUGGGUCCGGGGGUGCGCAGCUCAGAGGUCCCCCAGGAGCAGCACCGGCUGCGGCUCGGGUGUUCCGGGGGAGCCCAGGGUGGGACACGCCAGCAGAGAUGGCUUCAGGAUGUCAUCCUCCUUCGCCGUUCCUUUCCAAUUUCCGUGUUUUUUGGUGCCCGUGCGUUCACGCGCAGAGUUUUGGGAAGACAUCUCAGCCUGCGGGGUCCCGUGGGAGAAGGUGCUCCUCAGGAUGCCCCUCCUCGGGGGGAGCAGGUCCGAGGCUAUUGGGCGCCUUUUCGGGUGCUCCGCCGUCACUCUUGUUUUGCUUUUGACCUCAUGAGUUUGAAAGGAAGCAAAUGA
Molecule: long non-coding RNA, 1167 nt
Filed under: Calidris pygmaea (Spoon-billed sandpiper)
Lineage: Eukaryota; Metazoa; Chordata; Aves; Charadriiformes; Scolopacidae
Description: lncRNA (ENSCPGG00000017877.1)
Source: RNAcentral